AUUUCCGAUGAAGAUGACUUAUGGUUUACUGGAUGGCAUGGUUCUCCACUGCCCCCCACGACAACACGACUCAACAGAGGAAGCAAACAUGCUGACAGUGCCUCAACAUAUGUUGGCCCAACCAGGAGUACCACAGCAUGGACUAAAUAUUACUG
Populus euphratica (Euphrates poplar) is the source of this 155-nucleotide long non-coding RNA. RefSeq lists it as uncharacterized. NCBI's taxonomy places the organism in Eukaryota, Viridiplantae, Streptophyta, Magnoliopsida, Malpighiales, Salicaceae. The transcript has 2 exons. The record is from RefSeq and is a predicted model, not a curated record.